GCUGGUGUAGCUCAAUGGCAGAGCAAUUGAUUUGUAAUCAAUAGGUUGCGGGUUCAAAUCCCAUCACCAGCUCCA
Molecule: transfer RNA, 75 nt
Filed under: Bacillota bacterium
Lineage: Bacteria; Bacillati; Bacillota
Description: tRNA-Thr
Rfam family: tRNA
About the family: Transfer RNA (tRNA) molecules are approximately 80 nucleotides in length. Their secondary structure includes four short double-helical elements and three loops (D, anti-codon, and T loops).
Source: RNAcentral